AUAAUAUAAUAGCUUGUUAGGAAAAGAAUAAACAAACAAAAAGAGGUUGGAGAGUGUUUUUUUGUUUUUGGCUAUAGCUUUGAUUUGUCUUAAUGUUUUAUGUCUCGUUGAACAGGUGAAGUUACUCUUAACUUCAUUCUUUGGUUGACUUGGUAUUCGUCCUUUGAAGUGCUUGCCUCCGGUGGUCGUUUUCUCCUUUGCCGUCGAAGGGCUCUCCUCCUCCAUGUUUCUCCAUUUUCCUUUGCUUCAUUUUUUCUCCUUAGCCGCUCUCCGAUAUGUGGUUGUCCCUGGAGCUCGAACGUCCGCCGGCGGAGGAGCCUAGGCCGAUUCCGGCGGUCGUUUCGUUCCUCUGGUGACACUGGGAGGCUGGUGUGCAAUGGCGGGAGGUUGGAGUCGGUUCUUUGGGUAGGGUUUAGUCCGAAGCCAUUUUUCCUUUCUUAGAUCUAUGGCGAAACUCUGUGAUUGACGGCGCGUGGUUACGGUGGAGGGCUCCUCCGUCCCGGAUCUAUUCUUUCUUCUGGCGGUUCUUAUCUAUUGUUGUCCUGGUUGAGUGGCUUGACGGCGCGUCUUUCUCCUUUGUGUGAGGCGUCUCGGCGAGGUCUCACCUCUAUGGUGCAUCUGAGGUCUUCCGGGUUCGUCGUGUGUCGUCUCUGGCAGCUUCUCGUUUGAUGUGUGCGGCCACGACUAGGCUGUCGAUUCAGAGUCGUCUAUGGCUUCGAUUCAAUUUGUGCUCGUGGUGCUUCCGUCUUGUUCUCCUCUAGCCUCGGCGCUCCCUCCGGUUCUAUGGGUCCUUCUCGGCUGUUCUUCAGAUGUUAGUUUAUGUUCCGUUUGCAAGUCGGUCAGCGUCUUGGUUCUUACUUCUAUUCAAAGAUAUUGGGCAUUGUAUCAGAGGUCUCCAGUUCGCGUAACUGCUGAGACAAAACUAAUAUUACAUGCUAUAGUUUCGAGUAUGGGGGUUUGCCUCUGAACCUCCUAGUAUUCAAAANNNN
Molecule: long non-coding RNA, 989 nt
Filed under: Brassica napus (rape)
Lineage: Eukaryota; Viridiplantae; Streptophyta; Magnoliopsida; Brassicales; Brassicaceae
Description: long non-coding RNA (BNAP_LNC006809)
Source: RNAcentral